AGCAGCCGCGGUAAUUCCAGCUCCAAUAGCGUAUAUUAAAGUUGUUGCAGUUAAAAAGCUCGUAGUUGAAUUUCGGGGUUAGUAGGUUGGUCAUGCCUCUGGUAUGUACUGGUCUCACUGAUUCCUCCUUCCUGAUGAGCCGCAAUGCCAUUAAUUUGGUGUUGCGGGGAAUUUGGACUGUUACUUUGAAAAAAUUAGAGUGUUUAAAGCAAGCUAACGCUUGAAUACAUUAGCAUGGAAUAAUGAAAUAGGACGUUCGAUCCUAUUUUGUUGGUUUCUAGGAUUGACGUUAUGAUUAAUAGGGAUAGUUGGGGGCAUUAGUAUUCAAUUGUCAGAGGUGAAAUUCUUGGAUUUAUUGAAGACUAACUACUGCGAAAGCAUUUGCCAAGGAUGUUUUCAUUAAUCAAGAACGAAAGUUAGGGGAUCGAAGACGAUCAGAUACCGUCGUAGUCUUAACCAUAAACUAUGCCGACUAGGGAUCGGAUGAUGUUAAUUUUUUAAUGACUCA
RNAcentral lists this ribosomal RNA (508 nucleotides) under Glomus sp. Glo8. Its description in RNAcentral is "SSU rRNA". It matches the Rfam family "Eukaryotic small subunit ribosomal RNA", at positions 569 to 1078 of the family's 1831-position model. The record is from RNAcentral. Lineage: Eukaryota; Fungi; Glomeromycota; Glomeromycetes; Glomerales; Glomeraceae.